AUUGAACGCUGGCGGCAUGCUUUACACAUGCAAGUCGAACGGUAACAGGCCUUCGGGUGCUGACGAGUGGCGAACGGGUGAGUAAUGCAUCGGAACGUGCCCAGAGGUGGGGGAUAACGCAGCGAAAGCUGUGCUAAUACCGCAUGUGAUCUGAGGAUGAAAGCGGGGGACCAAGCAGCAAUGUUUGGCCUCGCGCCUCUGGAGCGGCCGAUGUCAGAUUAGGUAGUUGGUGGGGUAAAGGCCUACCAAGCCGACGAUCUGUAGCCGGUCUGAGAGGACGACCAGCCACACUGGGACUGAGACACGGCCCAGACUCCUACGGGAGGCAGCAGUGGGGAAUUUUGGACAAUGGGCGCAAGCCUGAUCCAGCAAUGCCGCGUGCGGGAAGAAGGCCUUCGGGUUGUAAACCGCUUUUGUACGGAACGAAAAGGCUCUGGCUAAUACCUGGGGCUGAUGACGGUACCGUAAGAAUAAGCACCGGCUAACUACGUG
Molecule: ribosomal RNA, 492 nt
Filed under: uncultured bacterium
Lineage: Bacteria
Description: partial 16S ribosomal RNA
Rfam family: Bacterial small subunit ribosomal RNA
Source: RNAcentral